RNAcentral lists this long non-coding RNA (3876 nucleotides) under Vitis vinifera (wine grape). RNAcentral describes it as "long non-coding RNA (VVIN_LNC002810)". The record is from RNAcentral. Lineage: Eukaryota; Viridiplantae; Streptophyta; Magnoliopsida; Vitales; Vitaceae.
UCCACUUCUAGCUUUCAAUCAACAAUAGCAAUAACUUUCUUAGUUGGAUGAAACUAGAUUUGUUCACAUUAGUAUUAGAAAUUUAAGUUAUUAAAUAAGGAAAUAGAAGAAACACCUAUGAGGAGAAACAAUAUUGAUAGGUACCGUAAAUUACAACAAAAUAUAUUAAAUUUAUGGUUUGGGUGCCAACUUUAAAACAUAAAACCAUAAAUUAGAUCCAAGGCAUAAAUCAAAAGAAAAAAAAUAAAAAUAAAAAUACAUAGAGCUCCACUUUGGAUGAUAAUGCAACACACAACAUUAAGCAUUGCGAUACAAAUUUUGUUCUACUUCAUUUGAUAACUAAAUGCACAUUCGGCAGACAUGUUUGCUAUCUUAAGAUAUACAAAACAAAUCUAAUAGGGUAAUAUCAAUACUUUACUAAUGUUUAUUAUUUAUAGAAAUAAUUGGUCUAUGUUGGCCAAUCUUUAAACAUCUUCUAAAUAAUCAACUUUAGUAUACCAAUGAUACAUUAUGUCUUUUUCAUUUAUAACUGUUAACAAUUCAUGGGCAACCCAAUAUUUUAUAUGUAAAAGCUUGAUGUCCAUGAAUUUUUCGGGUUUGGUCACUUUGAUGACUAACAAACUAACUAAUUCUUGUUAACUAUAGUCUAUAGCCAAUUCACCGGUAAUAUAUACUUUUGAAUUUAAUUUUUCUUAGCCAUGGAUGAGUCAUGGGUUAACAAGAUAAAGCAAAUAUAUAUACAUACAUACAUACAUAUAAGCACACUAUAACAAAAUGGAACUUAAGGAUAGAUGUUAAUCUAAAUCUUAGGACUUUAUGAUUUUUAUAAACCUAAAAAAUAAAGGUAGUAUACGUACCUUGAUCCAUAGGUAUAGACUUGGAAACACAAUUUUCUAGAAGCCAAAUGAAGAAAUUGUAUCUCUCUCUCUUCCAUGCCACUAAGCUGCUAAUAGCAUGGAGAAAGGGCCAAUUUUCUUCAAUAAUUAAAGUUCUACUUUCCAUCAAAAUGCAAUUAUUUAUCAAACACUUCACUUACACUAAAGGAUCAACAACACCAGAAACACCCAAUAUUCAUCUAUGAUAUGCAAGAAUGGGAAAAUGAUAUAUGCAAGAAGAUUUUCAAAAUCCCAUAAACUUGUAAUUUCCUUAUUACACUAAAGUUUCCAUUUUGAAAAAUAAAUACAAUGGAAUUUUCAUUAGAGAUAGUUUAUCAUUAAAAGGUAUUAUCAAAAUACUUAAUAAUUUGAUGGAAAUAAAUUUAUUUGAAAAUGUUUCCCACAUAAAAUAUUUAUUGAUUGGAGUUGUUUAAGAUAAGGAGAAUUUUUUUUGUAUGAAAAUAGAUUUUAAAAUUUGAUAGUAGAUAUUCUAUCAAAAUUUAUUUUUGGAAUACAAUACUAUAAUAGAAAAUUUAAAAAUUUCAGGAUCACAUUAUCCUAUUAUACUAAAUUUUCAAUUAAGAAAUUAAUAUAUUUAAAAAAUUUCAAAGAAAAUAAUUUAUUUAUCAAGGCAAUUAUUAACGUUUUAAAAGACUUAAUUCAUGCACUCAAAAUAUUAAGUGGGAGAAGGCCUUAGGAAAGGUCACAACCUUUGUUGUUGAACCCAUCUUGAUUUGGAUUCAUCACCACCCCACUGAUGGGUUGUACCCUAUAGUGGAAGCAUCCACCCCACUGAUGGGGUCUUCACUUGGUGACAUUGAUGUCAAGGUCAAGGGUUAUACACUUAACUUGGAUAUGAAGUGGUUGAAUCGCUCAUCGCUAGUCCCACUUGCAUAGUCUAAGGGCCAAACUUUAAGGUAUGUUGAUUUUUUGCUAAACUAUUGUUUGUCUUGAAUGCUCAAUUAUAUUAAAUGCAUGGUUGUUUUCUUUUUAUAGAUAUCAUGCUUGUUUGUUAUCACUUUCUUUCUCACAUUGAACUAAACCCAACUAUUCUUUUGGACUAAACAAAUAUUUUGGAUUUAGUAAAUAAUACCAUAGAAGCUAAUUGAAGUGAAGCUACCUAUUCCUUAUGAACAAACCUAGUAGGAAGAAAGAGUGGUAUAUUAAAUGUGAUAUAAGACGAAUAAGAAAACCAAGUCUUUCAUACUUGGAUCUUUGGAUAAUGUGUUGUCAUAACAACACAUAUCAUUACCAAGGAUUUUGAAUUAUCUUUUUAUUUUGUAAGGUUUAUUUGGUGCUAAGGGCAAGUUAGCUUCGAUAAGCUACCCUAAAGACUAUUAUGAACAAUAAGUUUUAUAUGAUCAUAGAGAAGUUAUCAAAUUCCUUCGAGAUGGUUAAGAGGAUUCUCAAAGAUUAUGAAGAUGUUUAUAUGAGAGUCAAGGGUUCUUCAGGUUCUCCUAUCAAGAAAAAGAAGAACAUCAAAUUAAGAAAGUUUAGGAGAAUGAAUAAAAAAACAAGCUUAUAGGUGUAAGUGAUUUCUUUAUGCCCUUCUAGGACACUAGAAAGGGAGUGCCUAGUUUAACUAUGGAAAAAAGAAAGUACACAUUCUCAUUGUUGAAUGUACAAUGGUGGAUUUCACCAAUUAGGGUGGAUAGAUUCUAGGAGAAGGUUGCAUGUUGAGAUUGUACUUACCUUAGUUUUAGUUGCAAAGUUAGUUGUGCAGAUAUUAUUAUUAUUAUUAUUAUUAUUAUGACUCUAUUAUCACUUUGCCAAGUAAUGAGAAUAGUCAUAUCUCACUAAAGGAAUGAAUUUAGCACCAAUCAAACAUCUAGCUUCUAAAGUGUAGGGGGCAUUUUGAUUAAAGGAUAUUUCAACCUAUGAAUCUUGUGUAGGUGGUAAAAUGAAACAUUGCUCUUAAACAAGUGAAAACCUUCAUUCCCAAGUUUAAAAGGGAAGCUAACAAUGUUAGGUUUUGGCAAAGAAAUUAAAUUGUGAGAAACUAACCACUUCUAGUAGGACUUUGUCUUGACUUCCCUCUAAGACAAAGUUUUCAUUUGGUUUUAUGGUUUAGAUCAUAAGGAAUCCUUUUCCUUUUGAACAAUGUCAUACAAAAUUGAUAAUCUUUGUAAUGAUACUUUAGUUUCUUAUAAACUAACAUUUAUCAUUCUUAUAUUCCUUCUUUUCAACUUUAAAAGACUCAUUGAUGACUUACAUGAUGAACUAAAUGAGAACGUUGUUGAUGCAGCCUCCUUUUGCACAAACAUACUAGUCAAUUUAUUAAUAUUCCACUUAGAUAAUUCAUUUGAAGUAAUCGAUAUUAUUUUGGAAGCAAUGAAUUGAGUAUGAAUUGUGAUAGAAAACACUCAUGCACUUUCAUCCUUGAAUUCUUAGCGCUUUUGCUAGGUUUGUUGUCUCAAGGAUGUGCUCAUGUAUGCCACGUGAACUAUCAAAUUUCAUGUUGGUAAAUUUGGCCAUAUAUCUUAGCAAGAGACUUAUAAUUAGUUUAGAAUGUUUUUUGAAAAAUUUUAUCAAUUCCUUACCACUUUCAAUUUUAGGAAGAGUAGUCUUGAUAUUUGGUACAAAAUCACUAGCAUAAAAAUUAAACUUAAUGUGUUUGAGUUUUCGUAAACCUUAUGGAAGACCCUUUCUCCACUUCUAGCUUUCAAUCAACAAUAGCAAUAACUUUCUUAGUUGGAUGAAACUAGAUUUGUUCACAUUAGUAUUAGAAAUUUAAGUUAUUAAAUAAGGAAAUAGAAGAAACACCUAUGAGGAGAAACAAUAUUGAUAGGUACCGUAAAUUACAACAAAAUAUAUUAAAUUUAUGGUUUGGGUGCCAACUUUAAAACAUAAAACCAUAAAUUAGAUCCAAGGCAUAAAUCAAAAGAAAAAGUAAAUAAAUAAAAAUACAUAGAGCUCCACUUUGGAUGAUAAUGCAACACACAACAUUAAGCAUUGCAAUACAAAUUUUGUUCUACUGCAUUUGAUAACUAAAUGCACAUUC